UACAGAGGGGGCGAGCGUUGUUCGGAAUUACUGGGCGUAAAGGGCGCGUAGGCGGCCAACUAAGUCAGACGUGAAAUCCCUCGGCUCAACCGGGGAACUGCGUCUGAUACUGGAUGGCUUGAAUUCGGGAGAGGGAUGCGGAAUUCCAGGUGUAGCGGUGAAAUGCGUAGAUAUCUGGAGGAACACCGGUGGCGAAGGCGGCACGCUGGGCCCGCCCUGACGCUGAGGCGCGAAAGCCAGGGGAGCGAACGGG
Molecule: ribosomal RNA, 253 nt
Filed under: uncultured bacterium
Lineage: Bacteria
Description: partial 16S ribosomal RNA
Rfam family: Bacterial small subunit ribosomal RNA
Source: RNAcentral